CAAUGGCUUAGUGGUAUCUGCCAUAUAUUUAUGUCAUACUAACCCGGGUUCGAUCCUUACUUUUGCAUUGUUUUUUCAUUUUUUCAAAAAAUAAAUGUGAUGACGUGGCAACUUCGGGCUUUCUGAUUGGACGAUUUUUUGUGCCUACGUAGACACUCUAAGGUGAGCUUAUAUCCCCCUUUUAGUAUAGUAUAGAUAAUAUACUAGAGUUGUUGGACCCGCGCGGGUUUCAUUUUUUUUUUGAAAAAUGAGUAGUUUAUAUGUAUUUUAAUCUUAUAGAUAGAUAACAUUUACAAUAUUACAUAUUUAUUUUACAUUACAUGUCUGCACAUAAUGUUUUUAUUUUUUAUAUUUCUAAUUUGUUGUUCAGAUUAUUCAGUUCCAUUAGUUGUUUGAAUGUAUUUGUACUUUGUAAAAUUUUGGAAUAUAAAUUAUUUACAUGUUUAUACAAAUAUGACUGUAUUUGUACGUUUUAAAAAAAUUGGAAUAUAUGUUAUUUACUACUUUAUACAAAAACAUAUAUCUAUAUUAGUGCAGCAACUUAAUUACAAUCAUACCAAAAUUAAUUACAAUCAUACAAAAACAUCUAUUAAAUGGUAAAUGUAAUUUGGACCAUAGUAACUGGUGAGAAACAAAAAUUGUAAUAUGGGUCAUAUCAUUCCAUUAUUUAAAAGAAAUCAGCCCAUUAAAACUCUGUUUGUUUUUUUUACGGGAAACCAACAACCGUUUCUUGUUCUUUUUAUCGAAAAAGGACUUUUGUGUUUCAUUAUAAACAGAGCUCAUAUCUGUCGUCGAAUCCUCACCAAAAAUCCCGACAUAGAGACUGAACACUUAUGUAUCGAAAUCUAAACCGAAGCAAUUUAAAGAUCGGCAGUGAGUAACAUUGAUAACAAAGGUUAGGAGUUUGAUUAGUAUUUAUAUUAUAAUCGAUUUCUAUUGAUAGAGUAGGGUUUGGUUUUGUUACUGAGAUAUUGGUAGAUUUGAUCUAAAUCGUGUAGAGCAGCGCUAGUUUUGAGGAUACAUACUGGAAUGGGAGAAGAUAAAAGUAAUCUCUAGAUUUGGGUGAUUAGACAUGAAACACAAUCAAUGGUUGAAAAAAGCUUCUGGAGCUUCUAUCAUGAACAUCUGUUCUAUAAAGCCUAACCUCCUAACAGAAGUUGAAGGGAGAAGACGAACAUAACAACAUAUAUGAGUUGAUAUAUUCAUAUCAGAAUCGACAUACAAAGGAGCUUCGGCAACGAUCAUAAACAAUUAUUAAUUAGAGAAGUCGGGUUGACUUAAUUGUAGAGGCUCUGUUUAAUGAGAGAGCCACCUAGUAGACUGUUCAGAAGUCACGGAAUCAACAUUGCACUUGCUUGAAGUAUUAGUAGUACCGACCAACUCCUCUUUCUAGAGAAACCGAGGGAAGGGAGAUGGACACAAAGUUGUCGAAAAAUAAUAGUGAACUUACAACGACAUGGUAAGACAUUGUUAAACCUUUGGCCUUUUUAAAAUCUUCUAUAACAUAGAAUUUGUCAAUCGUUUGAUAGAUGAUAUUAUGCCUUUUUAAUUUGCCCCAUGGUUUGGGUUGGAAGUUUUGAGACCCGAGUUCAAGUAAUCCAGAUGCAAAAGGAAGACAACAACCUUCACGAACAACAGACUUAUAAUACGGUUAGUAAUUACUUAUCUAUCAUAAGUAAAUCAUAAGAUGAAUGCAAUGUAGGACCAUCUAGAAUAGGUUGUCAGUAUGAAAGAACCAUGGAUUAAGAAUAGAUGUUUGGUUUUUACUUAUCUGAGUGAUGCAUGCCGUGCUGGUUUUUGUUAAUGAUACUCUUGUAUAACACCAAAAUUUAAAACAAAAAAAGCUUCAAAUUACCAAAGAAAAUACUUUAUUUGUUCAAAACUCAAGAAUAAGAAUUUUUUUUAAAUGGAUGUGUGAUUAAAGAAAUUGGAAGCAAAGGUUGGUUGUUUGCAUAAACUAAAACAAUUUUUCUAAACCAGCAAGCAUUCUUCCACCUGAGAGGAACUUGUGACCGACUCAAACCUGGAAAGAGCAAAAGUGGACAUUCAUUUCAAUUCAUUGUCUUCGUUGUACAUAGAAGAAAACACGCAUACAAAUAUUUUUUUUAAUAAGAACACAUCUGAACAUAAAACACUAGUAAACAUUUAAGAUUAAACUGACAUACCUUAUGGCUCCAACUGUUCAAGGUUGUCGAAAACUUCUUUAAAUACAACAUUCAUAGUUUUUUUCUGAGGUUUGCACCAUGUCUUUAGAAAGGUAAGUUACCCAUUGGUCUGCUCAAACCAUCUCGAAGCUAUCUCCAAAAGAUGGGUUUUGCUUCCAUGAAUGUAAGCUUUGAACAAGCCAAUUGGAUUUAUAAUAUCUGAGUUUUGAGAUUGGAGUAAACAUUCUUAGGUUGUUCUGCGUGAUGUGAUAUGUUUUUCAAGUUUUGAAGAUGAGAUAUAUAUAGUUGGCAAAUUGAAAGGAUAGGUUAGAAAGGAUAUACGCAUAAAAUAUUUGGUUGGUUGUGAUUUUGAGGCAUUGAAAAACGAACAUACGAUUCUGAUUUAUUUAAUACACAUUCCUUUUACAUUAAAUUAUAGCAAUAACCAGAAUAUUCUUUUUUUUUUAAAUUAGGCAUACAUGAUUAGCAAGAUUUGAAUAUAAGAUGGACAUUGUGUUAAUUGAUUGAUAUCAUUGCUUCGAAAUAGGAAUUUGUUUUAGAACGUAAUUUUGUUUGUGAAAUAUAAUAAAUGUUAUGUUUUGAUUCUGUGCAGCGUAAAAUCUAUUAAUACUAACUUUCAAAAAUCUUAGGAUAUCAACUAAGCCGAACACAUCAUAAUCUGGUCUAUUAAUUAGGCUGGUCUAGACAACAUGGGUAACAGACCAUGAUACCAAACCGAGAAACCAAAAAUAUGUUACUUAAUAUUGAUCAUAAUAGAUAUCAUGAUACAAACCAUGAUACCCAACCAAAAAA
Molecule: long non-coding RNA, 2957 nt
Organism: Brassica rapa (field mustard)
Lineage: Eukaryota; Viridiplantae; Streptophyta; Magnoliopsida; Brassicales; Brassicaceae
Source: RefSeq, a predicted model, not a curated record